AAUCAUUAAAAUAAAAGCAGUAAUCAAAGUGAUUUUUUUUUGUUAUCGAUUUGUAUGCGGUUCCUUUAACUCACCUGCAGUUAUCCUAAUUCGUAAAGUACAGUGCAUUCCGUUAGUUUAUAUGCCACACGACUGUUUUAAGCAGCUGUUUAAACUACUACGAAAAUUUACGAAAAUAAACGAAAAUUUUGAAAAUAAACAUAAAAAA
Long non-coding RNA from Rhagoletis zephyria (snowberry fruit fly), 208 nucleotides. RefSeq lists it as uncharacterized. NCBI's taxonomy places the organism in Eukaryota, Metazoa, Arthropoda, Insecta, Diptera, Tephritidae. The record is from RefSeq and is a predicted model, not a curated record.